AAUCUUCAUAUUGUAUAUACCAGUUGCGGCAUUAUGCUGCAAUUCCACUAUAUUGUUGGAUCCCCCAAGUCACUCUUGGGACUACAAGCCUGGCUUGUAGGCAUCCAUUCUUACAACUACUACAUACUAUCAAUUUAUGAAUAUAACAUCUCGAGGGACUGGCUUAGAGCCAGGACCUCACACCCAAGACAACUCUCAACAACGGAUAUCUUGGCUCUCAGAUCGAUGAAGAACGCAGCGAAAUGCGAUACGUAGUGUGAAUUGCAGAAAUACGUGAAUCAUCGAAUUUUUGAACGCAAAUUGCGCUCGAGGCUUCGGCCAAGAGCAUGUCUGCCUCAGCGUCGGGUAUACCCCCUCACACCUUACGUAUGUGAUGUGUGGAUCUGGCUGUCUCAGUUAUCAUGUUUGAUGUAAUUGCAUUAUGUAUUUGUGAUGCAAUUCAUAAAAUGUGAGAUACGCUGGGUUGGCUGAAGUGCAGCUGCUGUACCAUGGACCAUACAACAGGUCUCUACUAGGUAGGCAAUCACUUGCUCAAUGCUUUAGUAGACGACUUGGGUGCUGUGUACCGCACGAAGCAGGAAUGCUUGUUUGCAAGCAUAUGCCAUAGUUAUAUCCUCGACCUGAGCUCAGGCAAGA
This 636-nucleotide small RNA is filed under the name Volvox tertius. RNAcentral's name for it is "eukaryotic LSU rRNA". The stretch from base 191 to 344 matches the Rfam family "5.8S ribosomal RNA". The record is from RNAcentral. Lineage: Eukaryota; Viridiplantae; Chlorophyta; Chlorophyceae; Chlamydomonadales; Volvocaceae.